UUGUUUGCAUUGGAUUGAGACACGCACAACACUUAUCGAUAAAAAUUGGAGGGCAAGUCUGGGGCCAGCAGCCGCGGUAAUUCCAGCUCCAAUAGCGUAUAUUAACGUUGUUGCAGUUAAAAAGCUCGUAGUUGAAGUGAAGUGUGAAACUUCUGGAUUUUCGUUUGAAUUUCUUGCUGGUUCACACUCUUUCCAAAUAGUUUGCAUGGGUAUUCAUUUAUCUGUGUAUUGCAUUUGGUCAUUUACUGUGAGAAAAUUAAAGGGUUCAAAGCAUACGUUUGUUUGAAUACAUUAGCAUGGAAUAAUUCGAAAAGGCUUUCAUGUUCAAUUUGAUUGGUUUGUUCGUGAAGGCAAGAUUAAAAGGGACAGUUGGGGGUAUUCAUAUUCAAUAGUCAGAGGUGAAAUUCUCGGAUUUAUGGAAGAUGAACUAGUGCGAAAGCAUUUACCAAGGAUGUUUUCAUUAAUCAAGAACGAAAGUUAGGGGAUCGAAAAGGCUUA
This 498-nucleotide ribosomal RNA is filed under the name Blastocystis sp. subtype 10. Its description in RNAcentral is "SSU rRNA". It matches the Rfam family "Eukaryotic small subunit ribosomal RNA", at positions 500 to 1010 of the family's 1831-position model. The record is from RNAcentral. Lineage: Eukaryota; Bigyra; Opalinata; Blastocystidae.